RNAcentral lists this long non-coding RNA (10052 nucleotides) under Homo sapiens (human). RNAcentral describes it as "HSALNT0380808". The record is from RNAcentral. Lineage: Eukaryota; Metazoa; Chordata; Mammalia; Primates; Hominidae.
GGGAGGCAGCACACUGGGGUCAGGAGUGGAGAUACUUAGGCUCCCCAGAGAAAUUAGUCACAAGUCUUAUCCCUUCAUCUCCAUUUACAGCCAUUUAUUUGGGAGCAACAUACUUUAAAUGAGUGAUAAACAAAAUGUCUCCCCACAGCCCCCACCCCAGCAUGUGUUCUGAAGUUCACAGGAAGGCUUCUCCUCAUUUGCUUUGGGGCCCGCAGGCUGCCUGCUAACAGCUGGGUCUUCCCAUGAACAAAUUAGACAGUUAAUGUUCCAGGAUGAAGAGGGCUUCGGGGAACAGAAUCUGCCGUUUAUUUGACUUGCUUCAUUAGACACAGUGCCAUCAUACCAAAAUUAGAAAAAAGAAGGAACUCAGCGGAAAUCAGCUACACAAGAAGAACCUCUCAGUUCUGAGAAUUCACAUUAACCAGUGAUUAAGAAAUAUUAAAAAGGGCUGAUAGUCCACUACGUUAUCAAGUUCAAAGCCUAAGAAAUAUUGAACAUUUCCACACAUGAAUGUGGGUACUAUGUUUAAUUUGAGAAUGGCCAACUGUCCUCGAAGUCUCAAUCUCUUUGGAGCCUACCAGCUCCGAGAGAAGUUUGAGGAUGCUGCAAAACCCUCCCCUGCAAAUCCAUCUACUCCUCCCACUUCUAUCCUAAUGGGUAUAGUUCUUGGCUGUGCUGAGGAUCUGUAAGGCACCAGAUGUGAAAGUAAGGAAGAAAGAUGGAUGUGGAAGAAAGUCACUGCCCAGAGAAUAAGGAGACCUGGAUUCUAAUCUCAGCUCUGCCAUUAACUAGCUAUGAAACUAUGGCUCAAAAGGGAAUAAGAGAUCAAGGCAAGCAUGGACAUCUUGUACGUGGAAGUGCAGACCAGAACUUGUAUCACAGCCAGUCAUAUCUGGUGCUUUCCAUGCUACUUUUACAUACAUGUAUCCUUAAAUUUGAUCCUCUUCUAGUUUAGUCUAAACUCUUUACUUUGUAACUUCCAAACCUAAAAGGUGCAGCAGACAUUGACAAUCUUAAUUCAUUUGUCAGGUCAUUUGGUUUCUUGGUUUCCUAAGGGACUGUAUCCUUCCUGCCCUGCUAAUGGGGAGACUUUUUGUUUUUUGUUUUCUGUUUUCCUUAAUAAGUGAGGCCAAGUGCUGUGUGUAACUGUGGGGUGGGCAAAAUUAGGAUUCCUGAAUCACUUCACUUUUUGUUGCCUUUCUCUUGGGAGAAUGGUUACCAUUGCAGAGAAGCAUAGUUAAAAUUGCUUUUGUGUUUCAUAAACGAAUUCAUACUUAGAUGUCAUUGACCAACAACUAAAUAGUAUAUCAGAGAUGAAAGGCAUCCUAGAGAUGACCAAAUCAAGCUCUUCAUUACUCAAAGGAGAAAAAAAUCCAGAAAGUGGAUGACAUAUGUUGAACUAGUGAUGGAAGUAGAACAGGGUAGUGUAUUUUCUGCCUCUUAAUUCUUCAUUUUUUACACUAAACCAGAUAUUAGGUAUAUGACUAGGAAGAUACGUGAGGUAAGGAGCAGAGGGUUUGGCUCCAAACUCAUCAUGUAGUCAUCCUCCUCCAAGCUCUGAGAGCUUCUCUCACAUGUUAAUUCAGAGGCAGUAACAAAAGAAUUAAUGCUCCUGAAGGUUUCUCAAUUUUAUCAUCUGGAAAGUGGAGUGAACCUUUGCAGAGUCCUUCUGAAGAGGGCUGACCUUGGACUGCACUAGGUUAUAUUCAUUUGCUAUUACUCAGCAAUAAAAAGUAAAUGCAACAAUAUAAAUGAAUCUUAAAAACAUAAUAUGGAAAGAAAGCAGCCAGACACAAAAGAAUACCUCCUGUUUGGUUUCAUUACCAUAAAACCUAGAACAGACAAAUGAAUAUACUAUGAUUUUAAAAAGAUCAUUAUGAUCAGAAAGCACUUGCCUGUUACAGGAAGGAGAUGGGGAUUGACUGGAAAGGGGCAUGAGAAAACUGUAUGAAAUAUUAUAUAUGGUUUAUAUCUUGUUUGGGGGUGGAUACAUAGCUGUGUAUAAUUGUCAACAGUCAUUGAACUGAGCACUUAAAAUCUCUGCAUUUUAGUGUAUGUAAAUUAAUUUUUAAAAUUAUUUUAAAAGAAAAGUAAAAGGAUAGAAAAAGAUAUACCAUGAAAACAGCAAUCAUACAGAGUUGGGGCAGCUAUACUAAUACUAGAUAAAAUAGUCUGUAAGACAAAAACUUAUUAGAGAUGAAGAGGGACAUUUUAAGUGAUGACAAUUUAUUCAAUAAGGAAGAUGUAACAAGAAUAACAAGUAUGUAUGUACCUAAUAACAAAAUCCCAAAAUACGUAAAGCAACAACUGACAAAAUUGAAGGGAAAGAUAGACAAUUCAACAAUAAUAGUUGAGGACUGGAAUACCUCACUUCCAACAAUAAAGAGAAAAACUGGGCAGAAAACCAACUGGGAUACAGAGACUUGAAAAACAUUGUAAACCAAGUAGAAUCAACACACAUCUAUAGAAAACUCCACCCAACAACAGCAGAAAAUACAUUCUUCUGAAGUGCAUACGGAACAUUCCACAGAAAUAUAUGAUGUGCUAGGCCAUAAAAUAAGCCACAAUAGAUAAUAAAAGACUGAAAUCAUGUAAAUUAGGCUCUAUGCCCACAGAUUUAGAAAUCAAUAACUAAAAGAAAUGUGGGGAAUACACAAAUAUGUGGAAAUUAAGCAACACGUUCAUAAAUAACCAAUAGGUCAAGGGAAAAAAAUAUCACAAGGAAAAUUAGAAGAUACUUGAGAUGAAUGAAAAUAAAAAUACAGCAUACAAAAAAAACCAUGGGAGGAAGUUAAAGCAGCAUUAGAGCUAAAUUUAUAGCAAUAAAUGCUUAUUUCUUUAAAAAAUAUCUCUAAUAAUCUAACCUUUCAAUUUAUGAAACUAUAAAAGAACAAAUGAAACUGAAAGCAAGCAAAAAGGAGAAAAUAAUAAAAUUUCAGUAGAAAUAAAUGAAAUAAAAAAUAAAAUACAUAAAGCAACAGUUGGUUCUUGAACAAAAUUGACAAAUCUUUAGCGAAACUUUAGCAAAAAAGAAGGAGGACUCAAAUUACUCACAUCAGGCAAGAAAGAAGAAACUUGACUACUAACUUUACAGAUAAAAAGAAUUCAAGGGGGAUAAAACGUAAAAAAAAAAAACCUCUAUUGCUAACAAAUUAAAUAAACUAUAUGAUAUGGACAAAUCCCUAGAAAGACACAAAUUAUUGAAACUAACUCAAGAAAUAGAAAAUCUAAAUAGACCUAUAACAGGUAAAAAGAUUGAAUUAGUAAAUAAAAACUUCCCACAAAGAAAGAUUCAGGCCUAGAUGGCUUCCACUGGUAAAUUCUCCCAAAUAUUUAAAGAAGAAUUAAUACCAAUUGUUUAUAAACUCUUUUAGAAAAUAGAAGAAAGGGGAACUCAUUCUAUGAGUUCACUAUUACCCUGAUACCAAUGCCAGACAAAGGCAUGAGAAAAAGAGAACUGCACACCUUUAUGCAUCCCUAUCCUUUAUGAAUAUAGAUGCAAAACUCCAAGAUGAAUCCUGAAACAAAUAAAAAAUUGUACCACAACUAAGAAAGAUUUCUUCCAAGAAUUCAAGAUUGGUUUAACAUCUGAAAAUCAAUUUAUAUAAUAUGCCACAACAAUAAAGAAAAAAAUCACAAUUACUUCAAUAGAUGCAUAAAAUAAUGGAUAAACUCCAACACUCAUGAUUAAACAAAAAAAGAAGAAAACGCUUAAACCAGGAACAAAAAUUAACUUCCUCAAACUACCAGAAACUUACAGCUAACAUCAUACUAAAUUGUAAAGAAUCAAAUGGUCUUCUUUCACUCUCAGAUGUGAAAAUCUCCUAUGUAGAAAAUCCCAAGGUAUCGACAAAAAACAAAAAAAAAAGCUAUUAGAACUAAUAAAUGGGUUCAGCAAGUUUGCUGGAUACAAGAUCAGUAUAGAAAAAUCGAUUGCAUUUCUAUAUAUUAACAAUGAAAAACCAAAAUAAAAUUAAGAAAAUUCUAUUUAUAAAUAACAUCAAAAGGAAUAAAAUUUUUAGGAAUAGAUUUAACAAUUUAAGUAUAAAAUGUAUAUGCUAAAAACUACAAAACACUGUUGAGUGAUACUGAAGAUUAAAAUAAAUGGAAAGAUACACCAUGCUUAUGAAUUGGAGGAUUUAAUAUCGUUAAGAUGGCAAUACUUCCCAUAUUAAUGUACAAACUUAAUGCAAUUCUUAACAAAACUCUUCUGGUGUUUUUACAGAAAUUCACAAGGUGACCCUAACAUGUAUAUAAAAAUGCAAGGGAUCCAGAAUCACUAUAACAAUCUUGAAAAAGAAUAACAAAGUUGAUGGAUUCACACUUCCCAAUUCCAGAACAUACUACAAAGCGACAGUAAUCAUAAUGGUGUGGUACUGGUAUAGGGAUAAACAUAUUAAUCAACAGAAUAGAAUUAAGAGUCCAGUAAAUCCUCACAUUUAUGUUCAAUCGAUUUUCAGUAAAUAGGCAAGACAAUUCAGUGGGCAAAGAAUAAUCUUUAACAAAUAGUGCUGGACAACUGAAUAUCACAUGCAAAAGAAUGAAUUUGCACCCUGACUUCACAAUAGACACAAAUUAACUCAAAGUGUAUUAUAGAUCUAAAUGUAAGAGCUAAAUUACAAAACUCUUUUCAAAACAACUACAAAAUUCAAUCUUCAUGAUCUCGGAUUAGGGAAUGACUCUUCAAAUUAGACACCUAAAGCACAGGUGAUAAAAGAUGGCUAGGUUGGACUUCAUCAAAAUCAAAAACUUUUCUGCUUCAAGGGAUAUUUUUAAGAAAGUAAAAAGAUAACCCUACAGACUGAGAGAAAAAUUUUGAAAAUUGCAUAUUUAGUAAGAUACUUACACCCAAAAUAUAUACAGAACUCUUACAACUCAAUAAAGACAAACAGCCCAUUUUUUUCCAUGAGCAAAUGAUUUAAAUAGAAAUUUCUCCAAAGAAGACAUAUGAAUGGCCAACCAAUAAGCACGUGAAAAAUGUCAAUAUCAAUAGCUAUCAGGGAAAUGCAAAUCAAAAUCACAAAGAAACCAGGGCAGAGUGCCAGAUGCUCCGUACCUUGAAAAGGUUCAAGGAAACUUGAAAGAUCAGAUGACAUUUUUAGUGUAAUCUACAAGUCACUCUUCAAAUGACUUGAAGAUGACUACCUGAAUAUAUACAAUAAAAGUUGGAAAUAUUCAUAGAUAAUAUAAAAUUGAGACAAAAAAGGUCUAGAAAGACUGCAAUGUCAAGAUAUGUAUCAUCAAUUCCUGUACGCUACAGUUAAAUUUUGUUCUGAGUUUUCUGGUGCCAAGAAAAUAGGAAAGGGGUGGGCAAUACAGUAAGAUACAAAGAAAGCUUUUAUUUCAUGACACUUAAUUCUAAAAGAAUAAUCAGGUGAUAUGAAGCCAAUUUCUACAGAUAUGGUCUCUGUCCUCCAAGAGCUCAUAACUCAGAGAAAAAUAAAUAUGCAAAUGAUUAAAAUCAGUGAGGUAACUGCUAUGAAGGACGUAUGUACAAGCUAUACUGGAGGCAUAAGAGAGAGAGUUACCAUUCAGAUGAGGUGGACUCAUGCUCUGAUGUGGUAACAUAUGAGGUAGAUUGGGUAGGAAGGUAAGGCCAGUAGAGGGUGGGAGAACAUUCCAAGCAUCUGCAGAGAUUAAAAUUACCUAAGACGUUUGAGAAAUUGUAAGUGGUCUGAUAUGGCUGCAGUACUGGAUGUGAAGAUAAAAUUAAUGAUAGCUGAGGGUGGCAGGAAAGCUGGGAUCUUGCCAUGUAUAGCCUUAUAUGUCAUGCCAAGGACUUUGGACUUUAACCUGUAGGCAAGGGGAACCAUUGACUGGCAAGCCCUGAGUAGAGAGUCUAGGCCUUAUAAUGGGAAGUUAGUUUCCAGAGAUAACCUAAAGAAUUCCUGCCUUUAGGUUUAAUUCCAAAAGGGUAGUAAUCCACAACCUAGCACUCCAUAACAGUGAUUUAUAUUGGAAUUACUCUCCAAAUUGGAAGAUAUGGUUAAUCUGGGAUUAUAGGACGUGUAAGCUCAAAGUAAUUUCCAUUGUAACUCGUAUAGCUUUCUACUCAGCCCAUGACAUUCCUACCUGGUUCCAGUUCUUGCAAUUCAAAGAGAACAGGUCAAUGUCAGUGUUAACAUGUGGGUAUGAAAACAGCAAGUACCCGCAUAUGAAUUGGAACUGGGCUCACUGAAGAAAGCAUGUAAUUGGAGUGGGAAUAAAAGCAUCCAACUAUUAUACUUGUGUGUGUACACACACACAUUAGAUAUACUGCUACAGAUAUAGAUAGAUGCCAGGUGUGCUGGUCACUUUGCGAAUCUCAUCACACUUUACCUUCAUGACAAUCCAGAAAGGUAAGUACUAAUCCCACUUCACAGAUCAAGACUAUUCUUACUUACAGAAGUUAACAGUGCUCUCUCACUGGCUGGAUUGGCAUGGAUGCCUAUUUUUGAUAGUAUUUCUAAUCCUUACCACUGAAAGCAUUGGAAUGACACUUCAUGUAUUUUUUUCAGUAGAGAAGUAAUAGAAACUAUUCCCCUUAAAUGGCAGAUGUGAUAUCUCAAGCACAAAAGCUUGGGUGACUCACUCAAGUCAAUAACAACUGUAGGACAGGAGCAUUUCCAGUUGGCCCCGUAUUCCUUCUACUUAGUCUUUUUUGUUCUCAUGUAAAUACAAAGUCAUAAAUUUGUGGGGGUUCAUAUUGGCUUUGUUCCUUUUCCCAUCUAGUUACCACAAGAGACCUUUCACUCUCCCUAGUGACACCAUUCAACCUCUACAUAACCCUACAACAAAUACCCACUUCACUACCAUAUCACAUGGCCAGACCAGUGGUCUUUUCCUUUAAUGUUACAUAGAAUAAUAUUAUUUCUCCAUCAAUUAACUCUGAUUGGAAUCAUGAUUAUCACUAGUUUUAUUCUUCAGGCUUGAUAGAGUACCAGCUGUGUCCAACAAAUGUAACAACAGUGGCUUCCAGCCAAGUGCAACUGAGGUUUUUACAAGAAUAGAUACUUCGUGUAUUCUAAUGACAAAAGCACAUAAAUGAGGACUAAUAUUCUGUCUGUGGCAGAGAGAAAAUCCUCUUGACUUUGAAGAGGUUCAAAGGCCCACACACACAGAAAACUGAGUGCUCUGUCAUGCUAUCUGGAUCAAGGGACUCCCCCAAGGGGCCGGCAUCCCGGCCUUAGAAAGAUGUCUGGGCCCUCAUCACUGAGGCCUUUGAAACCUUGUACCAGAAACCCCCAGGGGUGCCUCUCCAGCCUGCUCCCCUGGAACUUCUCAGGUACCCAUGACACAGCCAGAUAACCAGCCAGUUGUCACCUACCAUCUAGGACAGUCUCUUACUCCUACCUGUCCAUGCAUGCUCACUAAACUUGCCCUGCAGCAGAAGUAUGAAUGACUCUUUAUUAAAAUAGACAGGAAAAACAAUAGUGUCUCAUCUCACACCUGCACUAGGAAAAAAUCCUCUGUCUUCCUCUCUCCCUUCUGGGCCCACUCCCUCCAAGUCAUCUCAGAGCUGCUGCCAGCAGCAUGUAAAAUAUGAAUCUGACUUUUUGACCCAUCUGAUUAAAAACUGAAGUUGGAGCACCUCUGGCAGCAGAUUGAAGUCCAAACCCCUUCAAAAAGUAUUCAAGGGCCUUCACAACCUGAUUUCAACAAUAUCCUGAACAGUUUUCCCAUACACUGGAGCUCUGGCCUUCCCAGGUAACUCACUACCCCCUGAAGAUGUUGUACAUUUUCAUUAUAUAUGAUUUUUGUUACUAUUCAAUUUAUCUAGAAUACAUCACAUCCCCUAUCUCACCUCACUCACCUGACAAACUCCCAAUCAUUCUUUGAGAACUAGCUAAAAUGUUCUCACCCCUCUAAUGCUUUCCCUGACCAUCCCAGGCCAAAUUAACCAGUCCUUCCUCUGUGACUCUGCCUAUUGCACUUAUUCUGAUUUUCCCAGCUCAACAGAUGACAGAGCCAAGACUCAAACCCUGGCCUUCUGACUCCAAGUUCUAAGGUCUUUACUUAACCCCUUGCCUACUGUGCAAUAUUACAAAUGGAAUCAUGCGUCAAUUCUGAAUCCCGACUGGCAGGCCAAUUGUGGGUAGUCAGUAAACUUACAGUGGAUGAAUGAAUGAACAACAACCUGAAGGAAGCUUCUACUAUCCCCACCCACCCCCCACCACACACACACACACACACACACACACACACACACAGAGUUUAUUCUUCGAACUGGAAUUUGUAAAGACAGCUUGGUUUCCCAGAUGCAUCCAACUCAUCAGGUACUACAAAUUCUGUAACCAGGCCCCAAUUUAGGGAUACUACAACUAUGCAUCAUGUAAUCAUGUAGGUCCUCCAGUGAUACUCAUCUUGCUCAUUUGGCCAUGGAUAAAGGAGAAAAGAGAGAGAAGUUCCCUUUCAGCACCCUAACACAUCUCUUAAUACAGCCUCUAAGUCUUUGAGUCCUCCAGGAGCCAGCAGCCAAGUCCAAACUAAAAGCAUCACAUGUUGUUUUGGAGAAAGAAGCCAGGGUGUCCACAGUAAUAUAAAUACAGAGACAGAUAGGACGAGCAGGCCCUAUGGAGAGAGGCCAAGCCUGAGAAAGUCAAAGGGCUUUGAGCUCUGAAUUAUGCUCUGUCAAAGAAAAAAAAAAGUAGAAGAUAAAAGAGAAAGAAUAAACAAACUUCUUCAUUUUUACUUUUCACAAAAAAGUCUCUUCUGGAAGCAGCAAAUAAAAUCUUCCCAACUCACUGGGUGCUGAGUAGAGUGUUAAGACACUAGCCCUUGAAGGAAGAAUGAAUAAGCAAUUCAAAGUGGGCUUUUCUGCCCUAGGCUAAAUCUGAAAUCAUCCAUUUUGCCAGCAGUAUUCUGUCUGCCAACCUACCUGCAAAGAAAGGGGCCAUUUAAAACUUCACAUCCACCCGAGAUGGCUGUUGUACAAAACACACACUCACAGGCUCCCCUCAAAGCCUAGUAAGGAAGAAGGAAGAAGGAAAAAGCAAAGGAAAUAUCUGGCAGCUCCUAGACUUUAGGAAUUCCACAAACAAAGCCAUUGCCAACAUCUAUUUGACAGGAUGUAUAGAGAGUUCAUAAAGUAAGUGUUUAUAGAAAUUCCAAAAUGUUUAAAACUAUCUCUUGAUUUUUGAAGGUCACUGUAAUCUAGUCUAUUGGAGAAUGCUAUUGUAGAGUCUUUGGCUAUUGUUACUUAUACCUGCAUAUAUGAAAUCACCACUCCUAAAAACCACGAAUUAGAAGGCUGAUUUGUUUAAAGAAAUACUGUUGUCCAUGAUGGAAGAAGGAUGCUAACUCACAGAGAGAAUGAUGCUGCCUGUGGAACAGAGUCGGAGCUGGCUUUUAUGGAACCUAUUGUCACUUUGAUUAUACACUGUCUAGGACAGGACUGAGGCCCACAUAAUACCAAGCAUACCACAAAUACAAAAAGUGGCAUAGAGGGAAAAAGAGGUCAAAUUAAACAUCAAGGUAGCUAAAAGGAAAAUUGUGUCCGCUGCUCUAAUAUCACAAUCCCAAGGAGAACUGCAGACAUUUGUCCUCGAGUUCCUCAGGUUGCCAGUAAUGAUGUUUCUGGUGAUCUGGCUCAGAAGGCUGAGCUGAUGAGUGAUCACUCAGAAAUACUGAAUCAGGCAAUGGAAAUUCUGAAUCGGUGGGCUCUGGAGAAGGAACUGAGGGCGAGGUGACUCGGGGCCGGAGGGCUAUUAUGGACUAUGGACAAGCUGAAGGCAUGGGAAGCCUGACCAGUAGAUAGAGGAAUAUGAACUUGGUGGACAGGGAAAAGCAGGGACGUCAUGAACGAAAGACCACAGACCCUCUGUUCUAGUCCAUGGGGCCAGGCUGUGCUCCACUGCCUACUCUUGGAUUCCCCAAAGAAUGCUUUAUGUCCUUAUAAUAAAUCCACCUUUCCAUGGACAAAAAUGAGUGUGUCUCUGUGUCUUCAAACCUGAGAGCUAAAACCAAAAAACAUAACUUAUGAUGCUGUAGAAGAAACUUCUACCCCUUUGUACGCAUGGAGAUGUUUCCCAAAUCUACACAAUGAUAGAAAUAACUUGCUGCGUUAAAAAGUA